AUGGAACACAAAGCUACCGCCGCGCGAAGUGAUCUAGAGCAGAUAUUAGUCGAUGAAACCGCAGAACCCACGGCCCUGCCAUUAUCACUUUUGAAGGACAUCACAGGUGAUUUCUCUGACGAUCAGGAGAUUGGACGCGGUGGAUUUGCAGUGGUUUAUAAGGGAAUAUUUGGCGAUAAGGUGAUCGCCGUGAAGAAGCUGUCCAACGCUUAUAUGCAUGAAACUGAAUUUGAUCGAGAGAUUGAAUGCCUAAUGCGGGCAAAGCACAAAAAUGUAGUAAGAUUUCUGGGAUAUUGUGAUGACACACAAAGAAGUAGGGAAAGAUUCGAUGGAAAACAUGUCAUGGCAGAGAUCCACCAAAGAUUGCUUUGCUUCGAAUAUGUACGUAAAGAGGGUCUUGAUAAGUAUAUCAAUGGUGCAUAUCGUGAGUGGGGAACGUGCUAUAAAAUAAUCAAAGGGAUCUGUGAGGGUCUGCAGUACCUUCACGAUAAUCAUAUUAUUCACCUGGAUCUGAAACCCGCCAAUAUACUGCUCGACGAUAACAUGGAACCGAAAAUUACUGAUUUUGGCCUAUCAAGAUGCUUUGAUGAAAAUCAAAGCCAGGAUAUUACCAAAACUAUAUUAGGAACAAUAGGAUAUUUGGCACCAGAAAUUCGCGAAGGAGGUGUAAUCGCACGCAGCGCUGACUUGUAUAGUGUUGGUGUCAUUAUCCUGGAAAUACUGACCGGGCAGAAGGGGUAUCAAGAUAUUGGGGAUGUACUUGAAAGUUGGAGCGAUAGAUUGGAGAGAUCACAACGAGACACACUAUGCGAGCAAAUACGAGUAUGCUACGAGAUAGCUUUAGAGUGCAGGGAAUUCAAUCCAAAGAUGAGACCACCUAGUGCACGAGAUAUAAUUGACAGGCUACACACAAUGGAAAGUAUCCAGGGCUGGUUUGAGAAAAUAUUAUACCUUUCUACCGAGCCGGCUCAACUACCAGGCUCGCUGUACAGUCUGGUCGAGACGAAACCACCACUUCCCGUUAAAGUCGGCCAGUGCGGCGCGGCGACGAAGAUGGCGUCGAUCUACGACAUGGUGGAGCCGAUGUCGUAUCUGUGCGUGAGCGUGGUGCAGGCGCGGGACCUGCCCACCAUGGACAUCACCGGCGCGCUGGACCCGUACGUAGAGGUGAAGCUGGGAAAUUUCAAGAGCGUGACGCGGCACCUAGAGAAGAACGCCAACCCGGUGUGGCGACAAAUGUUCACCUUCUCUGCCGCCCACCUGCAGUCCAACCAGCUUGAGGUUAUCGUGAGGCACAAGGACGUUCUUCGUGCCGACUUUGUUGGCCGCGUCGUCUUCGACAUGUCCGACAUCCCCAGCUGCAUCCCACCUGACAGCCAGUUGGCCCCGCAAUGGUACCACCUUUCCAAUGCCCACGGCGAGAGGUUCCCCCAUGGCAAUAGCCUCGGCGAGAUUAUGCUCGCCGUUUGGCUUGGCACGCAGCCCGACGAGGCCUUCAUGGAGGCGUGGCACUCGGGUACGCACUCCCUCUCCCGAGAGAGGCUCAUGAACACGCGCUCCAAGGUGUACUACUCCCCCAAGCUCAUCUACCUCAAGGUGUUCAUCAUCACGGCGCAGGACCUCAUCGGCGCUGAGAAGGACCGACCGCUGGCGGCGGCCAUCGCCAAGAUCUAG
RNAcentral lists this ribosomal RNA (1674 nucleotides) under Triticum aestivum (bread wheat). Its description in RNAcentral is "partial small subunit ribosomal RNA". Lineage: Eukaryota; Viridiplantae; Streptophyta; Magnoliopsida; Poales; Poaceae. The record is from RNAcentral.